UUUCCGGUUGAUCCCGCCGGACCUGACUGCUAUCGGAUUGAUACUAAGCCAUGCGAGUCUUUGUAGUAAUACAAGGCAGACGGCUCAGUAACACGUAGUCAACCUACCCUAUGGACGAGAAUAAUCUCGGGAAACUGAGCAUAAUUCUUGAUAGAUCAUAAUGCCUGGAAUGGUUUAUGGUUAAAAUGAUUCGUCGCCAUAGGAUGGGACUGCGGCCUAUCAGCUUGUUGGUGAGGUAAUGGCCCACCAAGGCGAUUACAGGUACGGGCUCUGAGAGGAGAAGCCCGGAGAUGGGUACUGAGACACGGACCCAGGCCCUAUGGGGCGCAGCAGGCGAGAAAACUUUGCAAUGUGCGAAAGCACGACAAGGUUAAUCCGAGUGAUUUCUGCUAAAGAAAUCUUUUGCCAGUCGUAAAACCGCUGGUGAAUAAGGGGUGGGCAAGUUCUGGUGUCAGCCGCCGCGGUAAAACCAGCACCUCAAGUGGUCAGGAUGAUUAUUGGGCCUAAAGCAUCCGUAGCCGGCUUUGUAAGUUUUCGGUUAAAUCCAUGUGCUCAACGCAUGGGCUGCCGAAAAUACUGCAUAGCUAGGGAGUGGGAGAGGUAGACGGUACUCAGUAGGUAGGGGUAAAAUCCUUUGAUCUAUUGAUGACCACCUGUGGCGAAGGCGGUCUACCAGAACACGUUCGACGGUGAGGGAUGAAAGCUGGGGGAGCAAACCGGAUUAGAUACCCGGGUAGUCCCAGCUGUAAACGAUGCAGACUAGAUGAUGCAUUGGCAUAAUAGCCAUUGCAGUGUCUCAGGGAAGCCGUUAAGUCUGCCGCCUGGGAAGUACGUACGCAAGUAUGAAACUUAAAGGAAUUGGCGGGGGAGCACCACAAGGGGUGAAGCCUGCGGUUCAAUUGGAGUCAACGCCGGGA
RNAcentral lists this ribosomal RNA (917 nucleotides) under uncultured archaeon. RNAcentral's name for it is "SSU rRNA". It matches the Rfam family "Archaeal small subunit ribosomal RNA", at positions 1 to 923 of the family's 1478-position model. The record is from RNAcentral.